UUUGAUCCUGGCUCAGAUUGAACGCUGGCGGCAUGCCUAACACAUGCAAGUCGAACGGUAACAGAUAAGAUGAUCUCUUCGGAGUGAAUCUUUGCUGACGAGUGGCGGACGGGUGAGUAAUGCUUGGGAAUCUGCCCAAUAGUGGGGGAAAACUCGGGGAAACCCGGGCUAAUACCGCAUAAUCUCUACGGAGGAAAGAGGGCCUCUACAUGUAAGCUCUCGCUAAUGGAUGAGCCCAAGUCAGAUUAGCUUGUUGGUAGGGUAAAAGCCUACCAAGGCAACGAUCUUUAGCUGGUCUGAGAGGAUGAUCAGCCACAUCGGGACUGAGACACGGCCCGAACUCCUACGGGAGGCAGCAGUGGGGAAUAUUGGACAAUGGGCGCAAGCCUGAUGCAGCAAUGCCGCGUGUGUGAAGAAGGCUCUAGGGUUGUAAAGCACUUUCAAUAGAGAAGAAAAGCUUGAAAUUAAUACUUUCAAGCCUUGACGUAAUCUAUACAAGAAGCACCGGCUAAUUCCGUGCCAGCAGCCGCGGUAAUACGGAGGGUGCAAGCGUUAAUCGGAAUUACUGGGCGUAAAGCGUGCGUAGGCGGUUUAUUAAGUCAGAUGUGAAAGCCCCGGGCUUAACCUGGGAACUGCAUUUGAAACUGGUCAACUAGAGUAUGGUAGAGGAAAGUGGAAUUUCUGGUGUAGCGGUGAAAUGCGUAGAUAUCAGAAGGAACAUCAAUGGCGAAGGCAGCUUUCUGGACCAAUACUGACGCUGAGGUACGAAAGCGUGGGUAGCAAACAGGAUUAGAUACCCUGGUAGUCCACGCCGUAAACGAUGAUAACUAGCCGUUGGGGGGAUUUACCCUUUAGUGGCGAAGCUAACGCGUUAAGUUAUCCGCCUGGGGAGUACGGCCGCAAGGUUAAAACUCAAAGGAAUUGACGGGGACCCGCACAAGCGGUGGAGCAUGUGGUUUAAUUCGAUGCAACGCGAAGAACCUUACCUGGUCUUGACAUACACGGAACUUUCCAGAGAUGGAUUGGUGCCUUCGGGAACCGUGAUACAGGUGCUGCAUGGCUGUCGUCAGCUCGUGUCGUGAGAUGUUGGGUUAAGUCCCGUAACGAGCGCAACCCCUAUCCUUAUUUGCCAGCACGUCAUGGUGGGAACUAUAAGGAGACUGCCGGUGAUAAACCGGAGGAAGGCGGGGACGACGUCAAGUCAUCAUGGCCCUUACGACCAGGGCUACACACGUGCUACAAUGGGAAGAACAAAGAGUUGCGAAGCCGCGAGGUGUAGCUAAUCUCACAAAUCUUUUCGUAGUCCGGAUCGGAGUCUGCAACUCGACUCCGUGAAGUCGGAAUCGCUAGUAAUCGUAGAUCAGAACGCUACGGUGAAUACGUUCCCGGGUCUUGUACACACCGCCCGUCAUACCAUGGGAGCCGACAAGGGCAGAAGUCGCCGAGCUAACCUUCGGGAAGCAGGCGCCCAAGCUGUUGUUGACGACUGGGGUGAAGUC
Molecule: ribosomal RNA, 1499 nt
Filed under: uncultured bacterium
Lineage: Bacteria
Description: partial 16S ribosomal RNA
Rfam family: Bacterial small subunit ribosomal RNA
Source: RNAcentral